GAAGCAUGGUUAUGUCCCCUGAAGCCCUGGUCCACAUGAAGCUCUUCCUGCUUUUCUUCAGAGGAAGAUGCAGGAGCUGGUUAAUGGAAUGGAUUUUGCAUUCAGACAUCUCUUGGGGCUGCCUGUAGGUGGAUAUGUUCAUGGAAGAUGGUGAAAAAGACAAGAAUAGGAUUUGCUGUAUAGAAUCACUAUAGUCACCAUCACACUGAGUGUCAACAACAUCUCUUGUUAUCCUCACAACUGUGCAAAACAGGUAAGGAGGAGAGUGUGACACCGUAUUAGUCCAUUCUCACACAGCUAUAAAAAAUACCUGAGACUAGGUAAUUUAUAAAGAAAAGAGGUUUAAUUGGCUCACAGUUCCACAGGCUGUACAGGAAGCAUGAUGCUGGCAUCUGCUUAGCUU
Molecule: long non-coding RNA, 403 nt
Filed under: Pan troglodytes (chimpanzee)
Lineage: Eukaryota; Metazoa; Chordata; Mammalia; Primates; Hominidae
Description: lincRNA
Source: RNAcentral